RNAcentral lists this ribosomal RNA (253 nucleotides) under uncultured bacterium. RNAcentral describes it as "partial 16S ribosomal RNA". It matches the Rfam family "Bacterial small subunit ribosomal RNA", at positions 524 to 776 of the family's 1533-position model. The record is from RNAcentral.
UACGAAGGGUGCAAACGUUGCUCGGAAUUAUUGGGCGUAAAGCGCACGUAGGCGGCAUUGCAAGUCGGAUGUGAAAUCCCUCGGCUCAACCAAGGAAGUGCAUCCGAAACUGCUGUGCUUGAGUACUUAAGAGGAUCGCGGAAUUCCCGGUGUAGAGGUGAAAUUCGUAGAUAUCGGGAGGAACACCAGUGGCGAAGGCGGCGAUCUGGGAAGAUACUGACGCUGAGGUGCGAAAGCGUGGCGAGCAAACAGG